This 800-nucleotide ribosomal RNA is filed under the name uncultured bacterium. RNAcentral's name for it is "bacterial SSU rRNA". It matches the Rfam family "Bacterial small subunit ribosomal RNA", at positions 98 to 893 of the family's 1533-position model. The record is from RNAcentral.
GCGGACGGGUGAGUAACGCGUAGGCGACCUGCCUUUGUGAUUGGGAUAACGUCGAGAAAUUGGUGCUAAUACCGAAUGAAGCGAUCUAGGCGCAUGUUCGGAUUGUUAAAGUUACUGUAAGGUAAUGCACAGAGAUGGGCCUGCGUUCCAUUAGCUAGUUGGUAGGGUAACGGCCUACCAAGGCGACGAUGGAUAGCUGAUCUGAGAGGGUGAUCAGCCACACUGGGACUGAGAUACGGCCCAGACUCCUACGGGAGGCAGCAGUGAGGAAUAUUGCGCAAUGGAGGCAACUCUGACGCAGCAACGCCGCGUGGGGGAUGACGCACUAUGGUGUGUAAACCCCUGUAGACAGGGAAGAAGGUUAUGGGCAAGUAAAGGCCGAUAAGUGACGGUACCUGUAAAGUAAGCUCCGGCUAACUCCGUGCCAGCAGCCGCGGUAAUACGGGGGGAGCGAGCGUUGUCCGGAAUUACUGGGCGUAAAGGGCGUGUAGGCGGGCAGGUAAGUCAGAUGUGAAAGGCUACGGCUUAACCGUAGACGUGCAUUUGAUACUGUUUGUCUUGAGUGCGAGAGAGGGUAGUGGAAUUCCCAGUGUAGCGGUGAAAUGCGUAGAUAUUGGGAAGACACCAGUAGCGAAGGCGGCUACCUGGCUCGUACUGACGCUAAUGCGCGAAGCGUGGGAUCAAACAGGAUUAGAUACCCUGGUAGUCCACGCAGUAAACGAUGGCACUAGGUGUUGUUGGCUUCGCUGAUCAGUGCGCAGCAAACGCACUAAGUGCCCGCUGGGAGUACGAUCGCAAGU